AGGGAGACUCCGCUUGGAAUAAGAGAGAGAGAGAGAGAGGCUUAGAAUAAGAGAGAGAGAGAGAGAGCUCGCGCAGAAAAGAAAAAGGAAAGAGAGGAAAGAAGAGAAGGAAAAAGAAAGACGGGGUUUAUGCAAUACUCGCCAUGAACACUUCGCCAAGCCACAACGUGUGGUAAGUAUUUACACCCUUGUUCAUCUAAUCGGAAUAGCUUUCGAGGUUAGGGUACAAAUUCAAAAUUUUGUGAAAAUCGAGCAAGUCUUGAUUUGGCAUUGUGGGGCCGUAGGGUUUGUUGAGAGGCGGUUUAGAUCAACGGUUUGGUUGGAGUGAGAAUUUUGGGGUUUUGUGUGGAGGUUUUGUGUGCGAGUUCUGCGUUGCGUUUAGGUUUGAACAAUCGCUUCAAGCGAUUGAUUUAUUAGUGCGUAAGAGUUGUUUUAUUUAGUGUUUAAGCUUGGUAUAAUCAUUUCAUAAUUAAGGCAGAGUUUCACUUGAUUUUGACAUCGAUUCCUAUAUAAUAGGAUUAUGAGAUCGUUAGCUCAUUUAGCUAGCAUUGUUUGGUUUGGGCAUUCCCAAGUGAGUGUUGUUGUCUUUGAAUUUGUAAACUCAUAUUUUGAAAAUGAAAUAGAUUAGUUAUGUUAUGAGUUAAGAAUAAGCAUAUUUUCUUGCAUAAAUUGAAUCAAGCAUUUACUAUGAUUUACAUAUUAGAUAUGAAAAUGUUUGUCUUUGGAUUACAAUCUAAACGUGCCAAAAAAUAAGUUUGUGAAACCUUUUGGGAAAGACUCACAAGAAGUCCUUGACUUGAAAUAUGGUUUAUGAAAGGCUAUACCCCG
RNAcentral lists this long non-coding RNA (828 nucleotides) under Eucalyptus grandis. RNAcentral describes it as "long non-coding RNA (EGRA_LNC007184)". Lineage: Eukaryota; Viridiplantae; Streptophyta; Magnoliopsida; Myrtales; Myrtaceae. The record is from RNAcentral.